Molecule: transfer RNA, 71 nt
Filed under: archaeon
Lineage: Archaea
Description: tRNA-Pro
Rfam family: tRNA
About the family: Transfer RNA (tRNA) molecules are approximately 80 nucleotides in length. Their secondary structure includes four short double-helical elements and three loops (D, anti-codon, and T loops).
Source: RNAcentral
GGGGGCUUAGUGUAACGGCAUCAUUGGCGCUUCGGGAGCGUCAGAUAGCGGUUCAAUUCCGCUAGCCCUCA